Molecule: long non-coding RNA, 1487 nt
Filed under: Bos taurus (domestic cattle)
Lineage: Eukaryota; Metazoa; Chordata; Mammalia; Artiodactyla; Bovidae
Description: long non-coding RNA NONBTAT018409
Source: RNAcentral
AUAAAAUGGAAAACUUUAAUUGUUUAAAGCAAAGGCACAAGUAAACAUUUCAGGUUAUCAUACAAUGUUACAAUAAGAAAUUCCAAAAAUUAAAAUGAAAUACAUUAUAAUUUUGCAUCUCUAUAGUAUAUUUAAUGUAUUAUUCUAUCUUCUCUUCUUUGGAAUGAAAAGAAGGUAUAGGCGGAUCAAUGGAUGUAAUGUAAAAACUUGGAUUAUAAAUAGCAUUCACUCCAUUUUUAGUCAGAAAAUUUGAGUAGAAUGAAUUAAAUAAAAAUUAACUAAAAAACAUUGUUUCAUUAAUGACAGAGCAGCAAUAACUUUCAGGCUAAAGUUCAUUGUUUUAACAAAGUAAAUCACUGAUUUAAUGAAAUGUUAGCUGUUGAUGCCUGGUACUUAUAUAAAAAUCAAGCUGGCCAUGAAAGGGCUUUAUUAAGACACAAUUCAUAUACUCAUUUUACUUUAAAUCUGAACAUUAUAGUGCAUUAUGUAAAGAAAAAGAAGCAUGAGGAACCAUGUCAUUUCUAAUGAUGUCAGAAAUAAAAUACUUUAAAAGGUCUAGACCUUGUUUUCAAUCAAAGGCACUGUCUGGAGAGUAACAAGCUGCAUUCAGAGCUAAGCAAGUUUUUUUUCCUUCCCCAAAUAGCCAGCCAGUUAGUUGGGACUUGCUGUCUCAGUUAGUCAACAAGCACUGAAUGCUUACUACCUAUCAACAAAAAGGGUAGAAAUCAUGUAGUUAUAUCUUUGACAUAUAUUUCCAGGAAGAAAAUUUUUUUCCACUAAUUUUUUAAUAGGCUAUUGAAAUAUUUUCUUGGUCUGUAAGGUCUCUGUUUAAUCACCUCAGUGUAAUUUCCACUUUAUUCAAGUGACUUGUAACCUCUUCUCAGCAUUUCAACCCAGGAUGACAAUGACACCAGAAAUAAACUAUUCCAAGGGAGCAAGUUAUCCUAUUACAUCCUAAAGGCCAGGAAGAUUUUAAACCCUUCUAAGAAGUAUCUGAAUCCAAGAUCUUGAAAGAAAAGAUUGUUGUUUCUCAUUUUUCAUUAUUCAAAUUACAAGAGUCCCAACAGAUUAAGGUUUACUUAACUACUAAUUCCUAACCAGAAACAGUACUUAGGAAAUUUUCUAAGGAUAUCUUUCAAAGUUUAGAAUUGAAACAUGAUUCUAAAAGGAUGUUCAUACUUUUAAAGUCAAAUUAUAACAAUGACUCAAUGAAGCAUACCCUAAAGGUCAAUGAUGCAUGCUUUAGAGAAUGGUGCCAAGAUUCUGGAAUUCUUUCCUUUUUUUCUCCAUUUCCAAAGGCACAGAUAUCCUUCUGAAUUUUCUAUGGCUUCAAAUACUUCAUAAUCUAAAAUAGCUGGUACCGUCUCCAUUUUGAAUAGUUUUAAGUAUAGGAUCCACCAGGAAAUUUUAGGUCCAAACCAUUAGCUCAAUAGCAAAAGCAAAUCUACUUGAGACAAACUGAAGAGGUAAACCUACAUGUUAGAGUA